Molecule: transfer RNA, 72 nt
Filed under: Camelus bactrianus (Bactrian camel)
Lineage: Eukaryota; Metazoa; Chordata; Mammalia; Artiodactyla; Camelidae
Also listed under: 2 other names
Rfam family: tRNA
About the family: Transfer RNA (tRNA) molecules are approximately 80 nucleotides in length. Their secondary structure includes four short double-helical elements and three loops (D, anti-codon, and T loops). Further hydrogen bonds mediate the characteristic L-shaped molecular structure. tRNAs have two regions of fundamental functional importance: the anti-codon, which is responsible for specific mRNA codon recognition, and the 3' end, to which the tRNAs corresponding amino acid is attached (by aminoacyl-tRNA synthetases). tRNAs cope with the degeneracy of the genetic code in two manners: having more than one tRNA (with a specific anti-codon) for a particular amino acid; and 'wobble' base-pairing, i.e. permitting non-standard base-pairing at the 3rd anti-codon position.
Source: Rfam by way of RNAcentral
GAUGAUAUAGCUCGGUGGUAGAGUGCAUGUCCAGCAUGCAUGAGGUCCUGGAUUCAAUCCCCAGUACUUCCA